This 342-nucleotide unclassified non-coding RNA is filed under the name soil metagenome. RNAcentral describes it as "partial contains 5.8S ribosomal RNA, internal transcribed spacer 2, and large subunit ribosomal RNA". The stretch from base 1 to 120 matches the Rfam family "5.8S ribosomal RNA", at positions 35 to 154 of the family's 154-position model. The record is from RNAcentral.
GAUGAAGAACGCAGCGAAAUGCGAUAAGUAAUGUGAAUUGCAGAAUUCAGUGAAUCAUCGAAUCUUUGAACGCACAUUGCGCCCGCCAGUAUUCUGGCGGGCAUGCCUGUUCGAGCGUCAUUUCAACCCUCAGGCCCCGCCUGGCGUUGGGGAUCGGCGCGGCCCUCUCCGGGCUGCCGGCCCCGAAAACUAGUGGCGGUCUCGCUGUAGUCCUCCUCUGCGCAGUAGCAACGCUCGCACUGGAACUCGGCGCGGCCACGCCGUAAAACACCCCACUUCUGAAAGUUGACCUCGGAUCAGGUAGGAAUACCCGCUGAACUUAAGCAUAUCAAUAAGCGGAGA